RNAcentral lists this ribosomal RNA (253 nucleotides) under uncultured bacterium. RNAcentral describes it as "partial 16S ribosomal RNA". It matches the Rfam family "Bacterial small subunit ribosomal RNA", at positions 524 to 776 of the family's 1533-position model. The record is from RNAcentral.
UACAGGGGGUGCAAACGUUGCUCGGAUUCACUGGGCGUAAAGCGCGCGUAGGCGGCUGCCUAAGUCGGGUGUGAAAGCCCCGGGCUCAACCUGGGAACUGCACUCGAUACUGGGCGGCUAGAGUAUGAGAGAGGGAGGUAGAAUUCCACGUGUAGCGGUGAAAUGCGUAGAUAUGUGGAGGAAUACCGGUGGCGAAGGCGGCCUCCUGGUUCAAUACUGACGCUGAGGUGCGAAAGCGUGGGGAGCAAACAGG